RNAcentral lists this non-coding RNA (117 nucleotides) under Nomascus leucogenys (northern white-cheeked gibbon). The record is from Rfam by way of RNAcentral. Lineage: Eukaryota; Metazoa; Chordata; Mammalia; Primates; Hylobatidae.
GCCGGGCACGGUGGCUCAUGCCUGUAAUCCCAGCACUUUGGGAGGCCGAGGCGGGUGGAUCACCUGAGGUCAGGAGUUUGAGACCAGCCUGGCCAACAUGGUGAAACCCCGUCUCUA